AAAUAUAAUACUGUGGAUUCAUUUAUUUUCGUGGGUAUCAAUUUUCGUGGAUAGAGAAAAAAAGACGUUUCGUGGUAUACGUAAAUUCGUGGAUCGCUGAUUACAACAACAAAAAAUUAGAUACGUAAUUCGUGGAUUUCUUUUUGAUUUAGGAGAUCAUAUAACAUCCUUGGUUUGAUCAAUAAUAAAAUUUGUAAGGGUUCCGGGGAACCCAGUGUCUCGCCUACUCUUUCUGUUUAUCACAAGCUCAACAAAAAUGAGGAAACAAAUCAAUAAAAUAUUCCUGUUGAUACUAUCUUUUGAUUGUAAGAAGCUUCUGUCCAAGUUUGGUAAAAAUCCAGGAUAGUUUAUGUAAUAAAUGUUUAAAAAAUUUAACUGCACACUGAAUGUAAUGUUAACUAGAAGAAAACAAAAUUUCCUUCUAGAUACUAGCUUUUGAUCAUAAACAAGCUUCUUUCCAAGUUUGGUACAAAUCCAAAAUAGUAUAAGAAAGUUAUUAAAAU
RNAcentral lists this long non-coding RNA (503 nucleotides) under Mytilus galloprovincialis (Mediterranean mussel). The record is from RNAcentral. Lineage: Eukaryota; Metazoa; Mollusca; Bivalvia; Mytilida; Mytilidae.